Molecule: ribosomal RNA, 322 nt
Filed under: uncultured Bacteroidota bacterium
Lineage: Bacteria; Pseudomonadati; Bacteroidota
Description: bacterial SSU rRNA
Rfam family: Bacterial small subunit ribosomal RNA
Source: RNAcentral
GAUGAACGCUAGCGGCAGGCUUAAUACAUGCAAGUCGAACGGUAAGGUCUCUUCGGAGAUACACGAGUGGCGCACGGGUGCGUAACGCGUAUGCAACCUACCUUUAACUGGGAAAUAGCCCCGAGAAAUCGGGAUUAAUGUCCCAUAUUAUUCUCUGAAUGCAUAUUUGGGGAAUGAAAGCUCCGGCGGUUAUUGAUGGGCAUGCGUGACAUUAGCUAGUUGGUGAGGUAACGGCUCACCAAGGCUGCGAUGUCUAGGGGUUCUGAGAGGAUUCACCCCCACACUGGUACUGAGACACGGACCAGACUCCUACGGGAGGCUG